GACGAACGCUGGCGGCGUGCUUAACACAUGCAAGUCGAACGGAAAGGCCCUGCUUUUGGGGGGUGCUCGAGUGGCGAACGGGGGAGUAACACGUGAGUAACCUGCCCUUGACUUUGGGAUAACUUCAGGAAACUGGGGCUAAUACCGGAUAGGAGCUCCUGCUGCAUGGUGGGGGUUGGAAAGUUUCGGCGGUUGGGGAUGGACUCGCGGCUUAUCAGCUUGUUGGUGGGGUAGUGGCUUACCAAGGCUUUGCCGGGUAGCCGGCCUGCGAGGGUGACCGGCCACAUUGGGAUGGAGGUACGGCCCAGCCUCAUCCGGGAGGCAGCAGUGGGGAAUAUUGCACAAUGGGAGGAAGCAUGAUGCAGCACCGCCGCGUGCGGGAUGACGGCAUUCGGGUUGUAAACCGCUUUCGCCUGUGACGAAGCGUGAGUGACGGUAAUGGGUAAAGAAGCACCGGCUAACUACGUG
This 468-nucleotide ribosomal RNA is filed under the name uncultured bacterium. RNAcentral's name for it is "partial 16S ribosomal RNA". It matches the Rfam family "Bacterial small subunit ribosomal RNA", at positions 28 to 507 of the family's 1533-position model. The record is from RNAcentral.